This 473-nucleotide ribosomal RNA is filed under the name uncultured bacterium. Its description in RNAcentral is "bacterial SSU rRNA". It matches the Rfam family "Bacterial small subunit ribosomal RNA", at positions 335 to 801 of the family's 1533-position model. The record is from RNAcentral.
ACUCCUACGGGAGGCAGCAGUGGGGAAUAUUGCACAAUGGGGGAAACCCUGAUGCAGCCAUGCCGCGUGUGUGAAGAAGGCCUUCGGGUUGUAAAGCACUUUCAGUAGGGAGGAAGGUAGUGUAGUUAACACCUGCAUUAUUUGACGUUACCUACAGAAGAAGCACCGGCUAACUCCGUGCCAGCAGCCGCGGUAAUACGGAGGGUGCGAGCGUUAAUCGGAAUUACUGGGCGUAAAGCGCAUGCAGGCGGCCUGUUAAGUCAGAUGUGAAAGCCCGGGGCUUAACCUCGGAAUUGCAUUUGAAACUGGCAGGCUAGAGUCUUGUAGAGGGGGGUAGAAUUUCAGGUGUAGCGGUGAAAUGCGUAGAGAUCUGAAGGAAUACCAGUGGCGAAGGCGGCCCCCUGGACAAAGACUGACGCUCAGAUGCGAAAGCGUGGGGAGCAAACAGGAUUAGAUACCCUGGUAGGAUAGCC